UACGGAGGGUGCGAGCGUUACUCGGAAUUACUGGGCGUAAAGCGUGCGCAGGCGGUUUUGUAAGCCAGAUGUGAAAUCCCCGGGCUCAACCUGGGAAUGGCGAUGAAGACUGCAAGGCUAGAAUCUGGCAGAGGGGGGUAGAAUUCCACGUGUAGCAGUGAAAUGCGUAGAGAUGUGGAGGAACACCGAUGGCGAAGGCAGCCCCCUGGGUCAAGAUUGACGCUCAUGCACGAAAGCGUGGGGAGCAAACAGG
This 253-nucleotide ribosomal RNA is filed under the name uncultured bacterium. RNAcentral's name for it is "partial 16S ribosomal RNA". It matches the Rfam family "Bacterial small subunit ribosomal RNA", at positions 524 to 776 of the family's 1533-position model. The record is from RNAcentral.